Molecule: ribosomal RNA, 116 nt
Filed under: Sutcliffiella tianshenii
Lineage: Bacteria; Bacillati; Bacillota; Bacilli; Caryophanales; Bacillaceae
Source: RNAcentral
UCUGGUGGCAAUAGCGAAGAGGUCACACCCGUUCCCAUACCGAACACGGAAGUUAAGCUCUUCAGCGCCGAUGGUAGUUGGGGUUCUUCCCCUGUGAGAGUAGGACGCCGCCAGGC